UUAGCUCUUUACUUAGUUUGUGUUCUUGACCAUUAACUACAUAGUCACAAUUGUAUAAAUGCCCACUUUACAAAAAUAGCCACUUUUGCAAAUCCGACAAAAUGGCCAGAUUCACAAAGAUAUUAUCACAGCAUUCCUAGAAGCAUAUAUGGCAGUGAUAUUUCAGCAACUAACUCAUGCUAUGUGUUAUACACCUAAAGUCAUUCAUGGGAUACUUAGCAUUGUUACUCGGAUACAAUAGCUUGAAAUCAUGCUUAAAAAUCCAUAAACUACUUAGAUGUCACAUUCAAAAAAACUUACAACUCAAUAUUCAAGUAUUAUGAAUGACUAUAUUCACAUUAUCACAUGCUUGAUACAUAACAAUAACAUACAAAGCUCUUUUGUUGUCGAACUAUUCAUCACAUCAAACGCAUUUAAAUGGUGCAGCAUGUUCAAGUUGUUCCCAUUGCUGAAAAUACAUACAUUACGAGUCUUAAAGGAUUACCUUGAUAGCAAAAGAAUAAACAGUAGUUCAGCAACUAAAGCAGCAUAAAAACAGCAGCAAAACAAUAGAGAACUGCCAGCAAAUCUGUGUUAAAACAGCCCGAAAACUUAGAGAAAACCCCAGAAACGAACUCUAAAGAGGACUUAUACUUUUCUAAAAGUUUGCGCUCUAAGAUUCACUCCUAAAGCUCACCAUUUCAGCUUACUUUACAUGUGUUCAACCGCUGAUUUUUUUUUUUAUGUUUUUGUGUGUUCAAAGUAAUUCUAAAAGCUCUAUGGAAGUGUGAUGGAGUCCCCCUCAUAAUGAGGAAAGGGCAGCCCCUUAAACAGGCAAAGAAAAACCGACUUUUUAGAUAGAUUUUGGUUCACCAAAAGUCUACCCGAUAAGGAAUAACAUUGUGUGCUAAACACUGUUCAAAAUCUGUCAAAAAUCUACUAUGUCAGAAGCAAGGAGAAAAAAUGUCAUUUCAGCCACCCUACUAGUAAAAGUAGGCUACUAGCACCCUAUUUUGUGAUAAAAAUAUCUAAAUUUUAGAUUUUAACAGCACUAAUAUCACCAUAUUGAUUCAAAUAAAACCAAGUAUUAAAACAUGUAAUUAAACUUUAAAACAUGUACUAUGAACCAACAUGAGCAAACAAAAAUUAACUAUUAAAGCCAGACAGAACACACGCUAUCGUUGAAGCGAUUUAACGAACCAACUAGACAAACAUAAUCAGAAAUGGAUUAAAUAAAGAAACAAGACAGAAACUAAUUCUAACCCAAAAAAUCAGAAAAUUAAUAACGGGGCAGGAUUACGAUUUUACCAUAUAGUCUCAAGUAUUUCCUUACUAUCUCACUUUAAUCAAUACAAAGCUAUUUUCUACUUCAACAAGUGCAAAAACAGAAAAUUUAACAUUUCAAACUUCAAGAAGUAAUGCUAAGAUAAUUAAUAAUAGACAAAAUAAAAUCUGAAAAAUAAAAAUAAAAUAAAAAAUCAGCAAUGAAAAAGAAUAGAAUUUUUACCAUUUAACAAUUCAAGUGGCCGAAAAAAUAGUGGUAUGCCAAAAGAGGGUGUUCGGGGAGGCCGCCGGAUUUGGUCGGAUUUUGGUCGCCGGAUUUUCAAGAUGAAAUUGGCAUCAAUAGCUAGGUCUUGAUGAGCUCUAACCAUUGAUGUAGGUAUUGUGGGGUGGUAGUGGUUGGAGCUUUAAGAAUUUGGGCAAAAAAGUAACAGGAAAGUUUCCUAGAUCUAAGAUUCAAGGAGUUUGAUGGGUUUUUGAAGGAUUUGGUUUUGAGAUAUGGAAAGAGGAGGUGUUGGAGAUUACUUGGUGAAAUUUUGAGAUGGUUUGGAGGUGGUCCUCCGGUGGGAAAUUUCCGGCGGCAGUGGAGGGGCAGCGGUUAUGGAGAAAUAGAGAGAGAAGAGAGAGAGAGGAGAAAAUAAUUAUGGGAGAAAUGGGGGUCAUUUUUCAGAUUUU
This 1935-nucleotide long non-coding RNA is filed under the name Nicotiana tabacum (common tobacco). RNAcentral's name for it is "long non-coding RNA (NTAB_LNC005714)". Lineage: Eukaryota; Viridiplantae; Streptophyta; Magnoliopsida; Solanales; Solanaceae. The record is from RNAcentral.